RNAcentral lists this long non-coding RNA (3391 nucleotides) under Homo sapiens (human). Its description in RNAcentral is "HSALNT0327871". The record is from RNAcentral. Lineage: Eukaryota; Metazoa; Chordata; Mammalia; Primates; Hominidae.
AGAUUGGGUGGUUUCAACAGGAACGCAUCCACUGUCUGAGAGUUUAAACUUGAUUUUGUGAGGGGACGAACAGCGUGACAAUUAAAAGAAGAUCUGGGAAUCAAAAGCUUCCUGAGGCCUUCACCAGAAGCAGAUGCUGGUGCCGUGCUUCUACAGCCUGCAGAACUGUGAGCCAAAUAAAGUUCUUUCCUUUAUAAAUUACCCAGCGUCAGGUAUUGUUUUAUAGCAAUGCAGAACAGACUAACACAGACACACACACCAACCAAGUACAGUAUGAGAAGGGAUUAUUGGGUGCCAUUUUGGAGGUUGUCUACCACAGGAUUUUAUCUGUAUCAUUAUUCAAAUUUCGUUUUUGAAAAAUUUUGUAAGGGCACAUUUAUAGAAAUAUGAAUGCUUAAUAUUUGAUGAUAUUAGGGAAUUAAACCAUUUUUGUGUGAUAGUAAUUUUUAAAGAUUCCUUAUCUUUUAGAAAUACAUAUUGAAAUAUUUAGAGAUGUAGUGAUAUAAUGUCUGGGGUAUGCUUCAAGAUAAGAGUUGCAGAAAGUGGGUGGUAGUAUAAAUCAAGAUUGGUUAUGAGUUGAGAAUUUUUGAGUAAUAGGUAUAUGGGGACUAAGUAUUCUAUUCUUCAUACUUUUACAUGCCGUAAAUCCCCACUUAUCUGCAGGGAAUGUGUUCCAAGACCCCCAGUGGAUGCCUGAAACUGAGAAUAGUACUGGACCCUGUAUAUACUGUGUUUUUUCUUUCCUUAUUGAGAACUUUUAUGUUUUCACUUAAAGGAAGGACUUUACAGCUUCUCUUUCGCAUAUCCAAAUUGCCAGCAUCACCGCUCUUGCACUCCAAGCCAUUAUUAAGUAAAGUAAAGAACACAAACACUGUGAUACUGCUACACUUGAUCUGAUAACCAAGAAGUCUACUAAGUGACUAACAGGUGGGUAGCAUAUACAGCAUAGAUACACUGGACAAAGGGAGGACUCACAUCCUGGGCAAGAUGGAGCAGAAUGGCAGAGUUCAUCAUGCUGCUCAAAAUGAUGUGCAAUUUAAAACUAAUGAAUUAUUUCUGGAAUUUUUCAGUUAAUAUUUUUGGACAUGAGGUGACUGCAGUUAACUAAAACCAUGGAAAGCAAACCCAUAGAUAAAGGGAUACUAUGGUAUGUUUUCAUUUUCUAUAAUAAAAAGUUAAAAAGGAAAAAGACACCAUAGGAAAAUAAAAGACAAGUCACAAACUGGGAAAAGAUCUUUGCAACACAUGUGACUAUCGAAAGGAUUAGUAUUCACACUGUGUAAAGAACCACUACAAUUCAAUGAAAAUGAAGAUAAUGCUUUCCACCCCAAACAGGCAAUUCAUACAGGAGAAAACCUGAAAAGAUACCCAACCACAAGGAAAUACCAUUUCACACCCACCAGAUGAACAAAAAUGUAAAAGUCUGGCAAUAUUACAAUUCUUAUACAUUGCUGGUUGGAGUAUGAAUUGAUAUAAUCAAUUUGGGAAACAAUAUGGUAUUAUCUAGUAGCUGAAGAUGCACAUCUUCUGUGACCCAGGAAAAAUGUAUAGCAGGAGACAUGAGCAAGAAAAUUCAUAAUGGCAUUUAUAACAGUAAAACGUGGAAGAAAAUCCACUGUCCAUCAACAGUAGAGUGAUUAAAUACAUUGUAUAUGCUCAUACAGCAGAAUAUAGUGGUGGAAAAAAUAAAUUACAAGUUCAUGGACAUAGAUAAAUCUCUAACAAAAUGUUGAGCAAAUAAAAAUUCACAAAAGAAUUUUACAGUAGGAUUCCAUUUAUAUAAAGAACCAAUGAAAGUAAAUAGCCUAAGGGUACAAACAUAAGUAAAUCUAUAAAUUAAAGCAAAAGAAUGAUAAGCACAAAUUCAAGGCAGUGAUUUCCUCUAGCUACAGAGGGAAGGGAAUGAAGUAAGGAAAAGGUGAACAAGGAGCUUAAAAGUAUGAUAAUUAUAUGUGUUGGUUUGGCCAAACAGUCCUGGUUUACCUAGCACAGUUCUGGUUUGCUGAUUGCCUGGUGUAAUGAUUAAUAGCACUGUCACUCCCCAAAUUGUCAUUGUUUGGAUAAUGAAUUAUAUGCAUCCUUUUUAGAGUAAAAGUAACUUUUUUCUCCUUAAACUGGAUGGAGGGCAUGUGGGUCUUUAUCAUUCUUCCUUAUACAUGUAUUUUUAAAAUAUAAUUUAAAACUAGUCAGUAUUUUAAAAUAUAAUUUAAAACUUUAGUCAGUGUUAGUCACUGUGUUAGUGACAACACAGUAAAAAAAAAAAAUUUGUAAGAUAAAUAAAUAUAAAUAGGAUCCAAAUGAAACUCUUUUCAUCUGGGUGGAUACAGGGAUAAAUAACAUACUAUAUGCCUGGCAUUGUAUUAAGCUUGUUACUGAUAUUACUUCAUAUUCAUAGCAAGACAUUUAGGUAGGCAUUAUUAUCUCCAUUUUACACAUGAAGAAUCUAAGACACAAAGACUAUACAUAAUUUAACCAAAGUCAUAUUAUAUGUGACAGCGCAGAAUUUGAACCCAAGCAGUGUGACAUCAGACUACAUGCUCUUAACUACCAUGCCAGAGCCCAUAACAGAUUUUCUUAACCUUUUUUAUGCCACAGAUCCCUUUGACAGUCUGGUGAAGCCUAUAGAGUCCUUUUUAGAGUAAUGUCUUUUGUACAUCAAAUAUAAUGCACAGGAUUAUAAAUAAAAUCAAUUAUACUAAAAUAUGGUAAUCAAAAUAUUUAACAAAUGUAUACUAUACCUGUACUUUUUAUUAAUGCAUUAAAUAAAUAAUAAAAUCUAGCAGGUCUAAUGAAUAAUUUUGAAAUAAUAAUAAUAAUUGUAUCUUGAGAUAUCUACAAAUAUAGUAAUGUGAUAGGAAAAUGUUUGUGAUUUUGAUAAGUGAAAAAGUCACCAAAAUACUUGUAAUAACACUGUGGUUUUUUGCAUAUGUUCACAAUGGAAAGAAAUCCUAAAUCUUACUUCGAAGUUAGCAAGAAUUACAAUAUUUUUCCCACCCCAAUUCAUGGCCCUCUACUUUAUGGUCUUAUUUCAUAGGCUUUCUGACAUGUUUUGCUUCAAAGAGGUCCUAUUCCCCAUCCCAUUUCCUAUCUUCUGGUUUGGGAUUACACUCAAGAUGUGAUAUACAGAUAGAUUAGUUUAUUAGAAAGAAAAUAUUUUUCCACAUGGCGAACUUUAGUGGAGGCUAACAAAUCAGAAUGUGCUAAAAUAGCCAUGUGUACAUAUAGACAAUGGGAAGCUUGGAACUGCUUUAGCAUUUUAUACAAAAGACUUAAAAGUAAUUUCAGCUGGGCACUGUGGCUCGGGCCUGUAAUCCCAGCACUUUGGGAGGCUAAAGUGAGAGGAUUGCUUGAGGCCAGGAGUUCAAGACCAGCCUGGGCAACAUAGUGAGAC